CCCUUAGAUGCUCUGGGCCGCACGCGCGCUACACUGGUCGAUGCAACGAGUUUCUUUCCUUGGCCGACAGGCUCGGGCAAUCUUUGAACGCUGGUCGUGAUGGGGAUAGACUUUUGCAAUUUUUGGUCUUCAACGAGGAAUUCCUAGUAAACGCAAGUCAUCAACUUGCAUUGAUUACGUCCCUGCCCUUUGUACACACCGCCCGUCGCACCUACCGAUUGAAUGGUCCGGUGAAGCCUCCGGAUUGGCGCGCACCCCGGUGCCGCCGAGAAGUUGGCUAAACCUUACCAUUUAGAGGAAGGUGAAGUCGUAACA
RNAcentral lists this ribosomal RNA (315 nucleotides) under uncultured eukaryote. Its description in RNAcentral is "partial 18S ribosomal RNA". It matches the Rfam family "Eukaryotic small subunit ribosomal RNA", at positions 1470 to 1796 of the family's 1831-position model. The record is from RNAcentral.